RNAcentral lists this ribosomal RNA (465 nucleotides) under uncultured bacterium. RNAcentral's name for it is "partial 16S ribosomal RNA". It matches the Rfam family "Bacterial small subunit ribosomal RNA", at positions 28 to 507 of the family's 1533-position model. The record is from RNAcentral.
GACGAACGCUGGCGGCGUGCUUAACACAUGCAAGUCGAACGGAAAGGCCCCUUUGGGGGUACUCGAGUGGCGAACGGGUGAGUAACACGUGAGUAACCUGCCCUUGACUUCGGGAUAACUUCAGGAAACUGGGGCUAAUACCGGAUAGGAAUCCUUGCUGCAUGGUGGGGGUUGGAAAGCUUCGGCGGUUUUGGAUGGACUCGCGGCUUAUCAGCUUGUUGGUGGGGUAGUGGCUUACCAAGGCUUUGACGGGUAGCCGGCCUGAGAGGGCGACCGGCCACAUUGGGACUGAGAUACGGCCCAGACUCCUACGGGAGGCAGCAGUGGGGAAUAUUGCACAAUGGGCGGCAGCCUGAUGCAGCAACGCCGCGUGCGGGAUGACGGCCUUCGGGUUGUAAACCGCUUUCAGCAGGGGCGAAGCUUGUGGUGACGGUACCUGCAGAAGAAGCACCGGCUAACUACGUG